GCUUGUCUCAAAGAUUAAGCCAUGCAUGUCUAAGUAUAAACAACUUUAUACUGUGAAACUGCGAACGGCUCAUUAUAUCAGCAAUAAUUUAUUUGAUGGUUCCUUACUACACGGAUAACUGUAGUAAUUCUAGAGCUAAUACGUGCGUAAAAUCCCGACUCUUGCGGGGAGGGAUGUAUUUAUUAGAUAAAAAGCCAGCGCGGGUUCUGCCCGGUUUUGUGGUGAAUCAUAGUAACUUUUCGAAUCGCAUGGCUUCACGCCGGCGAUAGUUCAUUCAAAUUUCUGCCCUAUCAGCUUUCGACGGUAGUGUAGUGGACUACCGUGGCAUUAACGGGUAACGGAGAAUUAGGGUUCGAUUCCGGAGAGGGAGCCUGAGAAACGGCUACCACAUCCAAGGAAGGCAGCAGGCGCGCAAAUUACCCAAUUCUGACACAGAGAGGUAGUGACAAAAAAUAACAAUACCUGGCUUCUUUAGGUCGGGUAAUUGCAAUGAGUACAAUUUAAAUCCCUUAACGAG
RNAcentral lists this ribosomal RNA (517 nucleotides) under uncultured eukaryote. RNAcentral describes it as "SSU rRNA". It matches the Rfam family "Eukaryotic small subunit ribosomal RNA", at positions 30 to 541 of the family's 1831-position model. The record is from RNAcentral.